RNAcentral lists this small RNA (692 nucleotides) under Pongo abelii (Sumatran orangutan). RNAcentral describes it as "retained intron". The record is from RNAcentral. Lineage: Eukaryota; Metazoa; Chordata; Mammalia; Primates; Hominidae.
GGCAGCAGCCGGCCGGGCCUGGGAACGUGGCUGGUUGGAGGAGGUGGAUCACCGUUUCUGCGGUGGACGAUUUCGUCGGUGGUAGGCUGCUACCAUGAGGUUGAAUCAGAACACCUUGCUGCUGGGGAAGAAGGUGGUCCUUGUACCCUACACCUCGGAGCAUGUGCCCAGGUAUCUUUCCCGCUUGACAUGGGGUACCACGAGUGGAUGAAAUCAGAGGAGCUGCAGCGUUUGACAGCCUCAGAGCCGCUGACCCUGGAGCAGGAGUAUGCCAUGCAGCGCAGCUGGCGGGAAGAUGCAGACAAGUGUACCUUCAUUGUGCUGGAUGCCGAGAAGUGGCAGGCCCAGCCAGGCACCACUGAAGAGAGCUGCAUGGUGGGAGAUGUGAACCUCUUCCUCACGGAUCUAGAAGACCCCACCUUGGGGGAGAUCGAGGUCAUGAUUGCAGAGCCCAGCUGCAGGGGUAAGGGCCUUGGCACUGAGGCCGUUCUCGCGAUGCUGUCUUACGGUAAGAAAGUGUAAGCAGACAAUGCGGGAAGUGGCCAGGCCCCGGGUGAACCUUGUUCAGGUCUGAGGGUUGGGGGCAGGUGAAGGUUCCUCCUCUGCAGCUUGGGACAGGAGGGGUGGGGGUAGGCGCCUCCUUACUUGCCCCGUCUCAUCUCUGCGAGGAGUGACCACGCUAGGUCUGACCA